GACGAACCGUGCGAACGUUAUUCGGAAUCACUGGGCUUAAAGGGCGCGUAGGCGGGCUGUCAAGUCUGGGGUGAAAUCCCACGGCUCAACCGUGGAACUGCCUCAGAUACUGACGGCCUCGAGGGAGGUAGGGGCAUGCGGAACUGUAGGUGGAGCGGUGAAAUGCGUUGAUAUCUACAGGAACUCCGGUGGCGAAAGCGGCGUGCUGGACCUUCUCUGACGCUGAGGCGCGAAAGCUAGGGGAGCAAACGGG
Molecule: ribosomal RNA, 253 nt
Filed under: uncultured bacterium
Lineage: Bacteria
Description: partial 16S ribosomal RNA
Rfam family: Bacterial small subunit ribosomal RNA
Source: RNAcentral